GACGAACGCUGGCGGCGCGCCUAACACAUGCAAGUCGAGCGAUGAAAUUUUAACCGAUCUCUUCGGAGAGAAGAUAAAAUGGAUUAGCGGCGGACGGGUGAGUAACACGUGAGAAACCUGCCUUUCACAAGGGGAUAGCCUCGGGAAACCGGGAUUAAUACCCUAUGACACAUUUCCUUCGCAUGGAAGAAAUGUUAAAACUCCGGUGGUGAAAGAUGGUCUCGCGCCUGAUUAGCUAGUUGGUGGGGUAACGGCCCACCAAGGCCAUGAUCAGUAACCGGCCUGAGAGGGUGAACGGUCACACUGGAACUGAGACACGGUCCAAACUCCUACGGGAGGCAGCAGUGGGGAAUAUUGCACAAUGGAGGAAACUCUGAUGCAGCGACGCCGCGUGAGCGAUGAAGGCUUUCGAGUCGUAAAGCUCUGUCCUAUGGGAAGAUAAUGACGGUACCAUAGGAGGAAGCCCCGGCUAACUACGUG
This 480-nucleotide ribosomal RNA is filed under the name uncultured bacterium. RNAcentral's name for it is "partial 16S ribosomal RNA". It matches the Rfam family "Bacterial small subunit ribosomal RNA", at positions 28 to 507 of the family's 1533-position model. The record is from RNAcentral.